CUACGGGUGGCAGCAGUGAGGAAUAUUGCACAAUGGGGGGAACCCUGAUGCAGCAACGCCGCGUGGAGGAUGACGCAUUUCGGUGUGUAAACUCCUUUUAUGAGUCAAGAAAAUGACGGUAGCUCAUGAAUAAGCACCGGCUAACUCCGUGCCAGCAGCCGCGGUAAUACGGAGGGUGCAAGCGUUACUCGGAAUCACUGGGCGUAAAGGACGCGUAGGUGGGAUUGUAAGUCAGGUGUGAAAGCCUAUGGCUCAACCAUAGAAUUGCACUUGAAACUACAAACCUAGAGUAUGGGAGGGGGAGAUGGAAUUAGUGGUGUAGGGGUAAAAUCCGUAGAUAUCACUAGGAAUACCGAAAGCGAAGGCGAUCUCCUGGAACAUUACUGACGCUGAGGCGUGAAAGCGUGGGGAGCAAACAGGAUUAGAUACCCGCGUAGUC
Molecule: ribosomal RNA, 439 nt
Filed under: uncultured bacterium
Lineage: Bacteria
Description: partial 16S ribosomal RNA
Rfam family: Bacterial small subunit ribosomal RNA
Source: RNAcentral